Molecule: ribosomal RNA, 255 nt
Filed under: uncultured bacterium
Lineage: Bacteria
Description: partial 16S ribosomal RNA
Rfam family: Bacterial small subunit ribosomal RNA
Source: RNAcentral
UACGGGGGGAGCAAGCGUUGUUCGGAUUUACUGGGCGUAAAGGGCGCGUAGGCGGCCACUGCAAGUCGGUUGUGAAAUCUCCGGGCUUAACCCGGAAAGGUCAAUCGAUACUGCAGGGCUAGAGUGCGGAAGGGGCAACUGGAAUUCUCGGUGUAGCGGUGAAAUGCGUAGAUAUCGAGAGGAACACCUGCGGCGAAGGCGGGUUGCUGGGCCGACACUGACGCUGACAGCGCGAAAGCUAGGGGAGCGAACAGG